Long non-coding RNA from Corapipo altera (White-ruffed manakin), 483 nucleotides. RefSeq lists it as uncharacterized. NCBI's taxonomy places the organism in Eukaryota, Metazoa, Chordata, Aves, Passeriformes, Pipridae. The record is from RefSeq and is a predicted model, not a curated record. The transcript is spliced from 3 exons.
GGGGAUGCUCUGCAUCCCACUUCCCCAUGCCACUGAGAGACAGUGCCCUUUGUGACAUCCUUUCACAAGUUUUUUCCUCUUCCUAAGCUCUGCCUACUCAACAGCUUCAUUUUGGAGCCUGCACUUGCUGGCAAGAGGAAGCAACCAGCACGUGGGCCAGAGGAGGGCUGGGCUCUGCAAGGACUGGCACUGCACUACUGGGAUCACGAUGGGACUGGUGGCUGGAGCUGGGAGUGCGACAGAGUGUGAAGUGAGGCUGUGAAAAAGGGCUCUGCCAGGAGACAUAGGCAGUGUGGAGAAGGACCAGGACCAGAAACAGACACAGGCUUCUGGGAGCUGCUGCCGAACUGCAGCUGUGAAUAACAGACUAGCUGAGGUUGGAAGGGACCUCUGGAGGUCAUCUGGUUCAAGCCCCCUGCUCAAGCAAAGCUACCUAGUUGACUGUGUCUAGGCACCUUUUGAGUAUCUCCAAAGACGGAGACU